GGAGUCGGCCAGGCAAUCGCUGCACGCUUGCGUGUGGAGGAAAGUCCGGGCUCCAUUGGGCAGGGUGCCAGGUAACGCCUGGGCGGCGCGAGCCGACGGCCAGUGCAACAGAGAACAGACCGCCGAUGGCCCACCAUGUGGUGCACAGGUAAGGGUGAAACGGUGCGGUAAGAGCGCACCGCGCGACCGGCAACGGAAGCGGCACGGUAAACCCCACCCGGAGCAAGGCCAAAUAGGGGAAC
Molecule: RNase P RNA, 242 nt
Filed under: Nevskiales bacterium
Lineage: Bacteria; Pseudomonadati; Pseudomonadota; Gammaproteobacteria; Nevskiales
Description: partial RNase P RNA component class A
Rfam family: Bacterial RNase P class A
About the family: Ribonuclease P (RNase P) is a ubiquitous endoribonuclease, found in archaea, bacteria and eukarya as well as chloroplasts and mitochondria. Its best characterised activity is the generation of mature 5'-ends of tRNAs by cleaving the 5'-leader elements of precursor-tRNAs.
Source: RNAcentral